Nothoprocta perdicaria is the source of this 268-nucleotide long non-coding RNA. RefSeq lists it as uncharacterized. NCBI's taxonomy places the organism in Eukaryota, Metazoa, Chordata, Aves, Tinamiformes, Tinamidae. The transcript has 4 exons. The record is from RefSeq and is a predicted model, not a curated record.
AGGACCAGAUCUCACCCAAGCRGAGGUGCAGGAGGAAACCGUGUGCGCGGAGCCCCAGAAAAAAAGAUGAAUUCUGAGACCUCAGCACUUACCAUGAGUAACCCUGUCAUAAUAAAUCAAUGUGCCAGGGGAAUAGUGGAAGAAGAAAAAGUUUGGCCAAAGGAACAGCAGCAGAACAACUUUUCCCUGUUUCCUUCUACUAAGGGCUGGAAUUUCAGAGGGAAAAAGCGGAAACAGAGUACUCAGGAUGAAGAUACAAUCAGUAUCU